ACGAACGCUGGCGGCGUGCUUAACACAUGCAAGUCGAACGGUGAAGCGCCUUCCUUUUUGGUGGGUGUGGAUGAGUGGCGAACGGGUGAGUAACACGUGAGUAACCUGCCCCCUUCUUCUGGAUAACCGCAUGAAAGUGUGGCUAAUACGGGAUAUUCUGGGUCUGUCGCAUGAUGGGUCUGGGAAAGAUAUUGUUUCGGUGGGGGAUGGGCUCGCGGCCUAUCAGCUUGUUGGUGGGGUGAUGGCCUACCAAGGCGGUGACGGGUAGCCGGCCUGAGAGGGUGGACGGUCACACUGGGACUGAGACACGGCCCAGACUCCUACGGGAGGCAGCAGUGGGGAAUAUUGCACAAUGGGCGCAAGCCUGAUGCAGCGACGCCGCGUGAGGGAUGGAGGCCUUCGGGUUGUGAACCUCUUUCGCCAGUGAAGCAGGCCUGCCUCGUUUGUGGGUGGGUUGACGGUAGCUGGAGAGGAAGCGCCGGCUAACUACGUG
This 493-nucleotide ribosomal RNA is filed under the name uncultured bacterium. Its description in RNAcentral is "partial 16S ribosomal RNA". It matches the Rfam family "Bacterial small subunit ribosomal RNA", at positions 29 to 507 of the family's 1533-position model. The record is from RNAcentral.